RNAcentral lists this ribosomal RNA (461 nucleotides) under Klebsiella pneumoniae. Its description in RNAcentral is "partial 23S ribosomal RNA". It matches the Rfam family "Bacterial large subunit ribosomal RNA", at positions 2482 to 2925 of the family's 2925-position model. Lineage: Bacteria; Pseudomonadati; Pseudomonadota; Gammaproteobacteria; Enterobacterales; Enterobacteriaceae. The record is from RNAcentral.
CUGAUACCGCCCAAGAGUUCAUAUCGACGGCGGUGUUUGGCACCUCGAUGUCGGCUCAUCACAUCCUGGGGCUGAAGUAGGUCCCAAGGGUAUGGCUGUUCGCCAUUUAAAGUGGUACGCGAGCUGGGUUUAGAACGUCGUGAGACAGUUCGGUCCCUAUCUGCCGUGGGCGCUGGAGAAUUGAGGGGGGCUGCUCCUAGUACGAGAGGACCGGAGUGGACGCAUCACUGGUGUUCGGGUUGUCAUGCCAAUGGCACUGCCCGGUAGCUAAAUGCGGAAGAGAUAAGUGCUGAAAGCAUCUAAGCACGAAACUUGCCCCGAGAUGAGUUCUCCCUGAGACUAUAAGUCUCCUGAAGGAACGUUAAAGACGAUGACGUUGAUAGGCCGGGUGUGUAAGCGCAGCGAUGCGUUGAGCUAACCGGUACUAAUGAACCGUGAGGCUUAACCUUACAACGCCGAAG